Molecule: ribosomal RNA, 369 nt
Filed under: uncultured organism
Description: bacterial SSU rRNA
Rfam family: Bacterial small subunit ribosomal RNA
Source: RNAcentral
CGUAGGGUGCAAGCGUUAAUCGGAAUUACUGGGCGUAAAGCGUGCGCAGGCGGUUUUGUAAGUCUGUCGUGAAAUCCCCGGGCUCAACCUGGGAAUGGCGAUGGAGACUGCAAGGCUAGAGUUUGGCAGAGGGGGUAGAAUUCCACGUGUAGCAGUGAAAUGCGUAGAUAUGUGGAGGAACACCGAUGGCGAAGGCAGCCCCCUGGGUCAAAACUGACGCUCAUGCACGAAAGCGUGGGGAGCAAACAGGAUUAGAUACCCUGGUAGUCCACGCCCUAAACGAUGUCUACUAGUUGUCGGGUCUUAAUUGACUUGGUAACGCAGCUAACGCGUGAAGUAGACCGCCUGGGGAGUACGGUCGCAAGAUUA